Acanthosepion pharaonis is the source of this 113-nucleotide non-coding RNA. Lineage: Eukaryota; Metazoa; Mollusca; Cephalopoda; Sepiida; Sepiidae. The record is from the annotation of a GenBank genome assembly.
UUACGGCUAUAUCAGAUUGAAACACCGCUUCUUGUACGAUCACUGAAGUUAAGCAACUGCGAGCUUGCUCAGUAUCUUGAUUAGUGACCGCCUGGGAAUACAAGGUGUUGUAA